GCCACCUCAGCCUGCCUAGUACUGGGACUACAGAAACAUCAAAUAUAUUCAGCUCCCGUCUCUCUUCAACCAUGUAAAAUUAUUUCAACAACUAUCAGCUAUUGAAGGUGAAACUGGCAUGUCUGUUUGUUCUUCUCUUCCUGGUGUCAAAGACUCUUAAAGCAUGCAUAUAAAAUAUGAAAGUAAAUAAAACGUAAUCAAAAAUACUAACAUUCAAACAUUUACAUAUCAUUGUUCCUACUAUCCCUUUUUUCUCUGGAUCUCUAAUAGAAAUAACAGUUGGUGUCCAUCAAGUGUUAAGUGAAUAAAUAAAAAAUUACCAAAUUUUUA
RNAcentral lists this long non-coding RNA (330 nucleotides) under Homo sapiens (human). Its description in RNAcentral is "HSALNT0312712". The record is from RNAcentral. Lineage: Eukaryota; Metazoa; Chordata; Mammalia; Primates; Hominidae.